This 301-nucleotide ribosomal RNA is filed under the name uncultured bacterium. RNAcentral describes it as "partial 16S ribosomal RNA". It matches the Rfam family "Bacterial small subunit ribosomal RNA", at positions 509 to 807 of the family's 1533-position model. The record is from RNAcentral.
CAGUCGCCGCGGUAAUACGGAGGGUGCAAACGUUAAUCGGAAUUACUGGGCGUAAAGCGCACGCAGGCGGUUUGUUAAGUCAGAUGUGAAAUCCCCGAGCUUAACUUGGGAACUGCAUUUGAAACUGGCAAGCUAGAGUCUUGUAGAGGAUGGUGGAAUUCCCGGUGUAGCGGUGAAAUGCGUAGAGAUCGGGAGGAACAUCAGUGGCGAAGGCGGCCAUCUGGGACAACACUGACGCUGAGGCACGAAAGCGUGGGGAGCAAACAGGAUUAGAUACCCCUGUAGUCCCUGUCUCUUAUAC